Molecule: long non-coding RNA, 100 nt
Organism: Myotis davidii
Lineage: Eukaryota; Metazoa; Chordata; Mammalia; Chiroptera; Vespertilionidae
Exons: 3
Source: RefSeq, a predicted model, not a curated record
AUCUUCCCUCAUUCCUGUGUAGCAGCGGUCGCCAACCGGUGUUCAGCGGACCACUAGUGGUCCAUGAAGUCCGAAAGGUUGGCGACCACUGACCUAGAGG